GACGAACGCUGGCGGCGUGCUUAACACAUGCAAGUCGAACGGUGAAACGCCUUCCUUUUUGGUGGGUGUGGAUGAGUGGCGAACGGGUGAGUAACACGUGAGUAACCUGCCCCCUUCUUCUGGAUAACCGCAUGAAAGUGUGGCUAAUACGGGAUAUUCUGGGUCUGUCGCAUGAUGGGUCUGGGAAAGAUAUUGUUUCGGUGGGGGAUGGGCUCGCGGCCUAUCAGCUUGUUGGUGGGGUGAUGGCCUACCAAGGCGGUGACGGGUAGCCGGCCUGAGAGGGUGGACGGUCACACUGGGACUGAGACACGGCCCCGACUCCUACGGGAGGCAGCAGUGGGGAAUAUUGCACAAUGGGCGCAAGCCUGAUGCAGCGACGCCGCGUGAGGGAUGGAGGCCUUCGGGUUGUGAACCUCUUUCGCCAGUGAAGCAGGCCUGCCUCGUUUGUGGGUGGGUUGACGGUAGCUGGAUAAGAAGCGCCGGCUAACUACGUG
Molecule: ribosomal RNA, 494 nt
Filed under: uncultured bacterium
Lineage: Bacteria
Description: partial 16S ribosomal RNA
Rfam family: Bacterial small subunit ribosomal RNA
Source: RNAcentral